Non-coding RNA from Schistosoma margrebowiei, 45 nucleotides. The record is from Rfam. NCBI's taxonomy places the organism in Eukaryota, Metazoa, Platyhelminthes, Trematoda, Strigeidida, Schistosomatidae.
AUCCAAUUGACGAGUCUCAAAUAGGACAAAACACGCAUCCUGGAU